GGAGGGAGCGGCCGGUCCGCGUCCUUUGGGCGCGUGUACUAGCGUGUCUCCCACCUGCCUUGCGGGGACUGUGUCGUGCGGUUUUGCCGUCGCGGCCAGGAACCGCAUCAUUUACUGUGAGAAAAUUAGAGUGUUCAAAGCAGGUCUGCGCGUCUUUGAAUACGUUAGCAUGGAAUAAUAAGAUAGGACUCUGUGCCUAUUUUGUUGGUUUGCGAGCCAGAGUA
RNAcentral lists this ribosomal RNA (224 nucleotides) under uncultured fungus. RNAcentral's name for it is "partial small subunit ribosomal RNA". The stretch from base 98 to 224 matches the Rfam family "Eukaryotic small subunit ribosomal RNA", at positions 738 to 863 of the family's 1831-position model. The record is from RNAcentral. Lineage: Eukaryota; Fungi.